RNAcentral lists this non-coding RNA (986 nucleotides) under Drosophila simulans. Its description in RNAcentral is "Eukaryotic large subunit ribosomal RNA". It matches the Rfam family "Eukaryotic large subunit ribosomal RNA", at positions 254 to 1058 of the family's 3401-position model. Lineage: Eukaryota; Metazoa; Arthropoda; Insecta; Diptera; Drosophilidae. The record is from Rfam by way of RNAcentral.
UUCCAAAGGAGUUGGUGUUGGUUGGAUAGGGCAGCCAUAAAGUGGGUGGUAAACUCCAUCUAAAACUAAAUAUAACCAUGAGACCGGAUAGUAAACAAGUACCGUGAGGGAAAGUUGAAAAGAACUCUGAAUAGAGAGUUAAACAGUACGUGAAACUGCUUAGAGGUUAAGCCCGAUGAACCUGAAUAUCCGUUAUGGAAAAUUCAUCAUUAAAAUUGUAAUAUUUAAAUAAUAUUAUUAAGAAUAAUGUGCAUUUUUUCCAUAUAAGGACAUUGUAAUCUAUUAGCAUAUCCCAAAUUUAUCAUAAAAUAUAACUUAUAGUUUAUUCCAAUUAAAUUGCUUGCAUUUUAACACAGAAUAAAUGUUAUUAAUUUGAUAAAGUGCUGAUAGAUUUAUAUUAUUACAGAGCGUUAAUUUUUCGGAAUUAUAUAAUGGCAUAAUUAUCAUUGAUUUUUGUGUUUAUUAUAUGCUCUUGUAUGAUUAACAAUGCGAAAGAUUCAGGAUACCUUCGGGACCCGUCUUGAAACACGGACCAAGGAGUCUAACAUAUGUGCAAGUUAUUGGGAUGUAAACCUAAUAGCGUAAUUAACUUGACUAAUAAUGGGAUUAGUUUUUUAGCUAUUUAUAGCUAAUUAACACAAUCCCGGGGCGUUCUAUAUAGUUAUGUAUAAUGUAUAUUUAUAUUAUUUAUGCCUCUAACUGGAACGUACCUUGAGCAUAUAUGCUGUGACCCGAAAGAUGGUGAACUAUACUUGAUCAGGUUGAAGUCAGGGGAAACCCUGAUGGAAGACCGAAACAGUUCUGACGUGCAAAUCGAUUGUCAGAAUUGAGUAUAGGGGCGAAAGACCAAUCGAACCAUCUAGUAGCUGGUUCCUUCCGAAGUUUCCCUCAGGAUAGCUGGUGCAUUUUAAUAUUAUAUAAAAUAAUCUUAUCUGGUAAAGCGAAUGAUUAGAGGCCUUAGGGUCGAAACGAUCUUAACCUAUUCU